UAUCUCUGAACCUGCUCAAUCCAUAAUCAAACCCAGCACAGUGUCGCGGACCAGCCACACUCUCUGAGGAGCUCUCAUGUUGUCAGUCUAGCCUGCAAUAUGUCAGACUGACUCUAACGGAACAAACUUGGAGAGAUAAAAACAAAGGUCAAGUAGUGCGGAUUGAAGACGAAGUUGAAGGUGUGGAAUGGGUUAACGGCGGAAGGCCUCGCCUCACCUUUAGUGCGCGUCACCCGGCUCCGUAAAGUGGCCCGACCAGCCACACCAAAAGGGGGCAAAUCACCGCCUCUCGCCUCCGCCAGACGCGCACCCUCGCCUCGGUCGGUCUCACAUCAUCCCGUCGGUCUCCGCCCCGCCGCUCCAUCACCACACACAGCCACAAGACAUCGGGAACUGGAGGAAUACGAGUGAUUUACCGGAGCCAUGAAGGACCGCAUGCAAGAACUUAAACAUGGGAAGGAGACGACAGAGGAGGAGGAUGAAGUCGCUGUGGGGAUGGACAAAGGCUUUAUGGAUGAAUUCUUUGAACAGGUGGAGGAGAUCCGGGGUUUUAUCGAAUCUCUGGCAGAGAAGGUUGAGGAGGUGAAGAGGAAGCACAGCGCCAUCCUCGCUUCACCUAACCCAGAUGAGAAAACUAAGGCCGAGCUGGAGGAUCUCAUGGCAGACAUCAAGAAGUUUGCCAACAAAAUACGCUCCAAAUUAAAGAGUAUUCAGCAAACCAUUGAACAAGAAGAAAGCCAGAACAAGGCAUCAGCUGACCUGAGGAUACGCAAGACACAGCACUCCACACUGUCCCGUAAGUUUGUCGAGGUGAUGUCAGAAUACAACACCACCCAGUCAGACUACAGGGAGCGCUGCAAGGGACGCAUUCAGAGACAGCUGGAGAUCACUGGGAGAAACACAACAAAUGAGGAGCUGGAGAGCAUGUUGGAGAGUGACAACCCUGCUAUCUUUACCUCGGGGAUCAUUAUGGACAACAUCACCGAGCAAGCUAUGAAUGAGAUUGAGACACGGCACAAUGAAAUCAUCAAGCUGGAAAACAGCAUCAGAGAGCUUCACGACAUGUUCAUGGACAUGGCCAUGCUGGUGGAGAGCCAGGGGGAAAUGAUAGACCGCAUAGAGUACAAUGUGGAGCACUCAGUAGACUAUGUGGAGAGGGCAGUAUCAGACACUAAGAAGGCGGUUAAAUACCAGAGUAAAGCCCGGAGGAAGAAAAUUAUGAUUAUCAUAUGCUGUGUGAUUCUGGGAGUUGUCAUUGCUUCUAUUGUUGGGGGAACGCUGGCAUAAACGUCAACCACAGUCGCACUCAUAGACACACAACGGAACAAGAUACAACAGAUUUACAUUUUUAGUUUCCUGUUUUCAUAAAUGCAAUCUAGGUGCAUUAUAUUGUACGACACAUUUUACACACGGCAUACAGGGCCAGAGGUGUUUUCGCAUGAGUUGCUAUUUUGUAAAUGUGUGGUGCUGCAAACUGUUUAUCUGAGUGUUGAGUGUUGUCAACGAUAAGAUGUUUCCAAAAGUGAAUUCCUGAAUUUACUAAAUAUGUAACACUAUACUAAUACAUUCCAACUUCCAAAUAUGACAUUUAUUCAGUUGUGAUGUCUAUUUUGUGUUGUAAAGGGAAAGUUAUUGGCCACUAAUCUGCAGUGUUUUUAUAAAGCCACAUUAUCUAUAGAUCUACUGUAUAUCUUUAUUUACUUAAUCUUUUCUUUUAACGUUCUCUCUCUAAUGUCCUCUACCUCCCAUCAAAAGCCCUGCAUGGUUUAGUUCACUGUAAAGUAGUUUUUUAUUUUCUAAUGCAAAGGGGACAGACAACAUGUUGGAUAGUUAGCUCAUCACAAUGCCAAACAUUUUCUUGUCAUAUCUUGUAGUUCACAGAAGCCAUGCUGUUGUAUUAAACUUCAUCUGGCCUAACCAGUUGUGCAGCAUUUCUGGCCGGCUGCUCCAGUGUUGCGUGAGCAUGGGGAAGAGGAUAUAUGUGUGUUUAUUUGUAGCUACAUGUUUGAACGUGCUGAGUGUGAGUUGUGGGAUGAAAACAUGAGUGCUUGUUAUUAGCCACCUGUGUCUUUGUUUUGUAUUAAACUGUAAACUGAUAUAAAGCUAUCUAACACUGCCAGUAUGUUCAAAAAAGAUGUUAUAAAUUGAGUCUAGUCAGGUUUGGAUUGAUAAUUCUGGUCUGUAAGUGACAAACUGUUGUUUUAUGUCUUUUUAUAAACCCGAGCUUUAAGCAUAUUCUUUGUCGAGCUACUUCACUGUUCAUUUUCAUGAGUGAACAUGAGUCAGUGAAAGUGUCAGCAUGAACUCAAAGUAGCCGUGUAAAAAAAAAACUCUCCUUUCUGUUUUCAGACAUGCACAGAGACUGCAAACAUGUUACCAUGUUGCCUACUCAACUUGUUGCCUUUGUGGUGUAUUGUGAUAAAAUGGUUUGGUUUUCUUUACGUUCGUUUUGUUUUUUCAAGUAAAGAUUGUCUGAAAAAUU
Molecule: RNA transcript, 2482 nt
Organism: Etheostoma cragini (Arkansas darter)
Lineage: Eukaryota; Metazoa; Chordata; Actinopteri; Perciformes; Percidae
Gene: stx1a
Gene name: syntaxin 1A (brain)
Exons: 11
Source: RefSeq, a predicted model, not a curated record